GGGCCGGUAGCUUAGCAUAGUGAGAUUGUCACGCUGAAGGUUAGAGCACCCGGCUGAUAACCGGGAGGUCGCCGGUUCAAGUCCGGCCCGGCCCA
RNAcentral lists this transfer RNA (95 nucleotides) under Candidatus Bathyarchaeota archaeon ex4484_205. RNAcentral describes it as "tRNA-Ile". It matches the Rfam family "tRNA". From Rfam's summary of the family: Transfer RNA (tRNA) molecules are approximately 80 nucleotides in length. Their secondary structure includes four short double-helical elements and three loops (D, anti-codon, and T loops). The record is from RNAcentral. Lineage: Archaea; Thermoproteati; Candidatus Bathyarchaeota.